UAUCUCUGUAGAGUCUGCAUAUCAAUAAGCGGAGGAAAAGAAACUAACUAGGAUUCCCUCAGUAACGGCGAGUGAAGCGGGAAGAGCUCAAAUUUGAAAUCUUCAAGGUUUGACCUUGACGAAUUGUAGUUUAUAGAAGUGUUUUCUGUUGGAGUUUUGGUAAAAGUUCUUUGGAAUAGGACAUCAUAGAGGGUGAGAAUCCCGUAUUUGACCAUUAUUUCCAGCUUUGUGAUACACUUUCAAAGAGUCGGAUUGUUUGGGAAUGCAGUCCAAAAUGGGUGGUAAAUUUCAUCUAAAGCUAAAUAUUGGCGAGAGACCGAUAGCGAACAAGUACCGUGAGGGAAAGAUGAAAAGAACUUUGAAAAGAGAGUUAAACAGUACGUGAAAUUGUCAAAAGGGAAGCGUUUGACACCAGUGUUGUUUUCUCGAAAAUCAAUUGAAAAUGGCUUGAUUUUGUGUUGUAUUGACCUUAAAAGCUUUCUUCACUUUUUUCAUGUCUUUUUUAAUGCACUUUUCGUUUAACAAGUCAACAUCAGUUUCUUUUGUUGUAAAAAGGUCAUUGGAAGGUGGCUUUCUUUUCGGAGAAAGUGUUUAUAGCCUUUGACUCCUGCAAUCGGAGAGACUGAGGUCUGCAGCGUAGAUCCUUCUGGAUUAGAUUCAUUUGUGCUAAGUUACAACCGUUUAUAGACAACUUGUUGACUAUAUUCGAUCCUGUAGCUUACUCGCCUAUGUAAUUUUACCUACGCUUAGGAUGUUGAGUCAUCACACAUCUCU
RNAcentral lists this ribosomal RNA (774 nucleotides) under uncultured Neocallimastigales. Its description in RNAcentral is "partial large subunit ribosomal RNA". It matches the Rfam family "Eukaryotic large subunit ribosomal RNA", at positions 24 to 618 of the family's 3401-position model. Lineage: Eukaryota; Fungi; Neocallimastigomycota; Neocallimastigomycetes; Neocallimastigales. The record is from RNAcentral.